This 1484-nucleotide ribosomal RNA is filed under the name human gut metagenome. Its description in RNAcentral is "bacterial LSU rRNA". It matches the Rfam family "Bacterial large subunit ribosomal RNA", at positions 497 to 1996 of the family's 2925-position model. The record is from RNAcentral.
AGUACCGUGAGGGAAAGGUGAAAAGAACCCCGGGAGGGGAGUGAAAUAGAACCUGAAACCGUGUGCCUACAACCGCUCAGAGCCCCUUAUGAGGGUGAUGAGGUGCUUUUUGUAGAACGAGCCAACGAGUUACGGUAUGUAGCAAGGUUAAGUACUUAAGGUACGGAGCCGAAGGGAAACCGAGUCUGAAUAGGGCGACUAGUUGCAUGCCGUAGACCCGAAACCGGGUGACCUAUCCAUGGCCAGGUUGAAGCGAGGGUAAAACCUCGUGGAGGACCGAACCACGUUGCUGUUGAAAAAGCAUGGGAUGAGCUGUGGAUAGCGGAGAAAUUCCAAUCGAACCCGGAGAUAGCUGGUUCUCUCCGAAAUAGCUUUAGGGCUAGCGUCGAGUAUGAGUAGUGGAGGUAGAGCACUGAAUGGGCUAGGGGGCAUAGCGCUUACCGAACCUUAUCAAACUCCGAAUGCCACAUACUUUGAGCUCGGCAGUCAGACUACGAAUGAUAAGAUCCGUGGUCAAAAGGGAAACAGCCCAGAUCGUCAGCUAAGGUCCCAAAGUGUAAGUUAAGUGGGAAAGGAUGUGAGAUUUCUAAGACAACUAGGAUGUUGGCUUAGAAGCAGCCAUUCAUUAAAAGAGUGCGUAAUAGCUCACUAGUCGAGAGAUCUUGCGCCGAAAAUGUAACGGGGCUAAACUUACCACCGAAGCUACGGGCUUGAACUUAGUUCAAGCGGUAGGAGAGCGUCGUAACCGGGCUGAAGUCGUACCGUAAGGAGCGGUGGACUGGUUACGAGUGAGAAUGUUGGCAUCAGUAGCGAGAUGUGGGUGAGAAUCCCACAGGCCGAAAACCUAAGGUUUCCUCAGGAAGGUUCGUCCGCUGAGGGUUAGUCGGGACCUAAGCCGAGGCCGAAAGGCGUAGGUGAUGGACAACUGGUUGAUAUUCCAGUACCACUACCAUCGUUAUUAUCGAUGGCGUGACGCAGGAGGAUAGUGUGUGCUAGCUAUUGGAUGCUAGUCUAAGCGUUUAGGCAGUGAGAGUAGGCAAAUCCGCUCUCAUAAUGCUGAGGCGUGAUGGGGAAGGUUCUACGGAACCGAAGUACAUGAUUCCACGCUGCCAAGAAAAGCGUCUAGAGAGAGAAGUAGUGCCCGUACCGCAAACCGACACAGGUAGGUGAGGAGAGAAUCCUAAGGCCGGCGGAAGAAUUACAGUUAAGGAACUCGGCAAAUUGACCCCGUAAGUUCGCGAGAAGGGGUGCCUACGAGAGUAGGCCGCAGAGAAUAGGCCCAAGCAACUGUUUAGCAAAAACACAGGUCUCUGCUAAAGCGUAAGCUGAUGUAUAGGGGCUGACGCCUGCCCGGUGCUGGAAGGUUAAGGGGAACACUUAGCGCAAGCGAAGGAGUGAACUUAAGCCCCAGUAAACGGCGGCCGUAACUAUAACGGUCCUAAGGUAGCGAAAUUCCUUGUCGGGUAAGUUCCGACCCGCACGAA